UAACAAGGAUUCCCCUAGUAACUGCGAGUGAAGCGGGAAAAGCUCAAAUUUAAAAUCUGGCGGUCUUUGGCCGUCCGAGUUGUAAUCUAAAGAAGUGUUAUCCGCGCUGGACCGUGUACAAGUCUCCUGGAAUGGAGCGUCAUAGAGGGUGAGAAUCCCGUCUUUGACACGGACUGCCAGGGCUUUGUGAUGCGCUCUCAAAGAGUCGAGUUGUUUGGGAAUGCAGCUCAAAAUGGGUGGUAAAUUCCAUCUAAAGCUAAAUAUUGGCGAGAGACCGAUAGCGAACAAGUACCGUGAGGGAAAGAUGAAAAGAACUUUGGAAAGAGAGUUAAACAGUACGUGAAAUUGCUGAAAGGGAAACGCUUGAAGUCAGUCGCGUUGUCUGGGGAUCAACCUUGCUUCUGCUGGGCGUACUUUCCAGAUAACGGGUCAGCAUCAAUUUUGACCGUUGGAUAAAGUCUGGAGGAAUGUGGCAUCUUCGGAUGUGUUAUAGCCUCUAGUUGCAUACAACGGUUGGGAUUGAAGAACUCAGCACGCCGCAAGGCCGGGUACUUGUACCACGUUCGUGCUUAGGAUGCUGGCAUAAUGGCUUUAAUCGACCCGUCUUGAAACACGGACCAAGGAGUCUAACAUGCCUGCCAGUAUUUGGGUGGAAAACCCGAGUGCGUAAUGAAAGUGAAAGUUGAGAUCCUUGUCAUGGGGAGCAUUGACGCCCGGACCAGACCUUUUGUGACGGAUCUGCGGUAGAGCAUGUAUGUUGGGACCCGAAAGAUGGUGAACUAUGCCUGAAUAGGGUGAAGCCAGAGGAAACUCUGGUGGAGGCUCGUAGCGAUUCUGACGUGCAAAUCGAUCGUCAAAUUUGGGUAUAGGGGCGAAAGACUAAUCGAACCAU
RNAcentral lists this ribosomal RNA (892 nucleotides) under Pholiota squarrosa. RNAcentral describes it as "eukaryotic LSU rRNA". It matches the Rfam family "Eukaryotic large subunit ribosomal RNA", at positions 66 to 943 of the family's 3401-position model. Lineage: Eukaryota; Fungi; Basidiomycota; Agaricomycetes; Agaricales; Strophariaceae. The record is from RNAcentral.